GUAGCGCGGGCGACGUGGUGGGGGAGGGCGGGGGGAGGGUCCGGCGGCUGCGGCGGCCACCCGGCGCGGGCUGCGUCCCGAGGAAUUCCCGGACGCGCAUUGUCCAGAUGUGAACCAAGAUUUGGCCUUUUCACCAAGAGAAAAGGGAAGGCUCAUGGGCAUGGGCACACAGUGCUGAGAUCGUGGGCACACAUACUGGGGAAUUGAACCCAGGGGCCUCAUGCAUGCCCGGCAAGCGCUCUACCACUGAGCUACUUCUUCAACCCAGUAAACUAGUUUUAAACAGAUGGCA
This is a non-coding RNA of Marmota flaviventris (yellow-bellied marmot), 292 nucleotides long. The record is from RefSeq and is a predicted model, not a curated record. NCBI's taxonomy places the organism in Eukaryota, Metazoa, Chordata, Mammalia, Rodentia, Sciuridae.